This is a long non-coding RNA of Oncorhynchus tshawytscha (Chinook salmon), 259 nucleotides long. Lineage: Eukaryota; Metazoa; Chordata; Actinopteri; Salmoniformes; Salmonidae. The record is from Ensembl.
UCCAGGUUUACACUGCUACUGCUGUCCAGGUUUACACUGCUACUACUGCUGUCCAGGUUUACACUGCUACUACUGUCCAGGUUUACACAACUCCUGCUGUCCAGGUUUACACUACUACUGCUGUCCAGGUUUACACUGCUACUGCUGUCCAGGUUUACACAACUACUGCUGUCCAGGUUUACACUGCUACUACUGCUGUCCAGGUUUACACUGCUACUGCUGUCCAGGUUUACACAACUCCUGCUGUCCAGGUUUACAC